RNAcentral lists this non-coding RNA (109 nucleotides) under Jeotgalibacillus soli. RNAcentral's name for it is "SAM-I sequence". It matches the Rfam family "SAM riboswitch aptamer (S box leader)". From Rfam's summary of the family: The SAM riboswitch is found upstream of a number of genes which code for proteins involved in methionine or cysteine biosynthesis in Gram-positive bacteria. The SAM riboswitch acts at the level of transcription termination control. Lineage: Bacteria; Bacillati; Bacillota; Bacilli; Caryophanales; Caryophanaceae. The record is from Rfam by way of RNAcentral.
UACUUAUAAAGAGUAGGCUGAGGGACUGGCCCUAUGAAGCCCGGCAACCUGCCGCAUAUUUGCGGUAAGGUGCUAAUUCCUGCAGGAUGGUAAUCCUGAGAGAUACGAG